Molecule: long non-coding RNA, 205 nt
Filed under: Elaeis guineensis (African oil palm)
Lineage: Eukaryota; Viridiplantae; Streptophyta; Magnoliopsida; Arecales; Arecaceae
Description: long non-coding RNA (EGUI_LNC018124)
Source: RNAcentral
CUACAUAGUUUUUUAUAUACAUGUAUAUAUUAUAUUGUUAAUAUUUUUAUUUAUCCUUCAAUUUGUAAAUUUUUAAUAUAUAAAACCUUGUUUUGCAACUUAAUGGUGUAGAAAAAUAAAAAUAGUCACAUGGUAGAAUAUAUCUGGAUGUUUGUACUCAGCUUUAAAUUCGGUGUAUCUUUUCAAGUUUUACUUCAUGGUUAAC